Molecule: ribosomal RNA, 396 nt
Filed under: uncultured bacterium
Lineage: Bacteria
Description: partial 16S ribosomal RNA
Rfam family: Bacterial small subunit ribosomal RNA
Source: RNAcentral
AUACGUAGGGAGCGAGCGUUGUCCGGAAUUACUGGGUGUAAAGGGAGCGUAGGCGGGAGUGCAAGUCAGAUGUGAAAUACAUGGGCUCAACCCAUGGGCUGCAUUUGAAACUGCAUUUCUUGAGUGAAGUAGAGGUAAGCGGAAUUCCUGGUGUAGCGGUGAAAUGCGUAGAUAUCAGGAGGAACACCGGUGGCGAAGGCGGCUUACUGGGCUUUUACUGACGCUGAGGCUCGAAAGCGUGGGGAGCAAACAGGAUUAGAUACCCUGGUAGUCCACGCUGUAAACGAUGAUUACUAGGUGUGGGGGGACUGACCCCUUCCGUGCCGCAGUUAACACAAUAAGUAAUCCACCUGGGGAGUACGGCCGCAAGGUUGAAACUCAAAUGAAUUGACGGGU